RNAcentral lists this unclassified non-coding RNA (421 nucleotides) under Hevea brasiliensis (rubber tree). The record is from RNAcentral. Lineage: Eukaryota; Viridiplantae; Streptophyta; Magnoliopsida; Malpighiales; Euphorbiaceae.
ACUCAUUGUAAAAUUAUUAAAAGCAACUAAAAGGAAAUAUCAUAAUCAGAAUAUCAGAUAGUAUCAUGAACCAGAACCAACUAAUUUUCAUACUCAUAAUAUUACUUUGAGCUCUUGAAUCUGACAUUGCCUUCUUCUUCUGAAUGAUGCAUCUCAACGUUGGAACAACACAUCGUUAAACAACAUUUACUUUUGUUGUUAUUAUUAUCAUUCAAAAGCUCAAGUGCUUUCUUUUUAAUUUCUUGCUCUGAGUCUGGCUCCACAUUGGAACAACACAGUAAGAAGCAACCUCUUCUCUUCUUAAGAAUGAUGCAUCUCUUUAAUUUUUUAUUUUUCUUCUUCUCCAACGUUUGGAAUGCAUCGACAGCAAUGCUAUUUUCUGAGGCUGGAAGGGCAAGGUACCGAGAAUCCAUAGCAUGCA